This 468-nucleotide ribosomal RNA is filed under the name uncultured bacterium. Its description in RNAcentral is "partial 16S ribosomal RNA". It matches the Rfam family "Bacterial small subunit ribosomal RNA", at positions 28 to 507 of the family's 1533-position model. The record is from RNAcentral.
GACGAACGCUGGCGGCGCGCUUAACACAUGCAAGUCGAACGGAAAGGCCCUGCUUUUGUGGGGCGCUCGAGUGGCGAACGGGUGAGUAACACGUGAGUAACCUGCCCUUGACUUUGGGAUAACUUCAGGAAACUGGGGCUAAUACCGGAUAGGAGCUCCUGCUGCAUGGUGGGGGUUGGAAAGUUUCGGCGGUUGGGGAUGGACUCGCGGCUUAUCAGCUUGUUGGUGGGGUAGUGGCUUACCAAGGCUUUGACGGGUAGCCGGCCUGAGAGGGUGACCGGCCACAUUGGGACUGAGAUACGGCCCAGACUCCUACGGGAGGCAGCAGUGGGGAAUAUUGCACAAUGGGCGGAAGCCUGAUGCAGCAACGCCGCGUGCGGGAUGACGGCUUUCGGGUUGUAAACCGCUUUCGCCUGUGACGAAGCGUGAGUGACGGUAAUGGGUAAAGAAGCACCGGCUAACUACGUG